Pan troglodytes (chimpanzee) is the source of this 183-nucleotide small nuclear RNA. RefSeq annotates it as U2 spliceosomal RNA. The transcript has a single exon. NCBI's taxonomy places the organism in Eukaryota, Metazoa, Chordata, Mammalia, Primates, Hominidae. The record is from RefSeq and is a predicted model, not a curated record.
AUUUCUUCUCAGCCUUUUGGCUAAGAUCAAGUGCAGUAUCUGUUUUUAUCAGUUUAAAGACCGUGUGUGUGUGUGUUUGUGUGUGUGUGUGUGUGUGUGUGUGUGUGUUUAAGAUAGGGUCUCACUCUGUCACCCAGGCUGGAGUGCGGUAACAAAAUCUCAGCUCACUUCAGCCUUGACUUC